This 782-nucleotide long non-coding RNA is filed under the name Anser brachyrhynchus (Pink-footed goose). Its description in RNAcentral is "lncRNA (ENSABRG00000014947.1)". Lineage: Eukaryota; Metazoa; Chordata; Aves; Anseriformes; Anatidae. The record is from RNAcentral.
CCUGGACUAAAAAUUGUUUUCAUUAUUUUAAUAGAAGCUAAAAUUUUUAUAGCUGUCUCAUUUCAGAAUUCAUGGCUUUAAAGUAAAAAGCUUCAUCUAUUUUAAAACUUGCAGGCCUACAUGUGCAGAGAGACACAUCAGUCUAUCUUAGAUGUUUUCUGAUAUUAAUUUUAUUCUCAAUGACUGUCAGCCACGGAUCCUUCACCAACACAGAAUGUGUCAAAAGCUUUUACAGAAGUAAACUAACAAGCAGAGGAUAAAUAAUCGACCGUUUUAGGUGAUAAUCCUGCAGUGAGCUCUGUGUGACCAGACAUUUUGCCCAGCAGAAAGAAUAUGUUUACUUCAAGAGGAACCCAUUUGGGUGUUCCCUUCGGUACCAGGUUGGCAUGAUCUGGAAUCUUCUAUGUGAAUUCAGUUACUACAAAAGAGAGAUCAUCCUGUUUUCCUGGCAUCUAGGCCAGGAAAAGGCCAUCAGUGACAGCAUCACUGUCAUUCUACUUGCCUGCCCUCCAGUUGUGCCUGUUAGGGGGUUUGAAGACUAUCCACAGUCUAGUUCUUGAGAUGCAGUUGCCAGUUCUGGUACCACUCAUGUGACAAGCAAACACUUUUACUGCUUUAUCCAACUUUCCAUCUUGUACAGCUUCUUGUGUUGACAUAGUUACAAAUACUUAUUAUUUGAAGCGGAGCCAGGUUGCUGUCAGCCAAUUGCCUUUCAUUUACACUGUUCAGUUACUCAUCCAUGUAAAAAUAAAAUGCUGUUGAGCUUUAUUGGACUUGCUUUC